Molecule: ribosomal RNA, 156 nt
Filed under: Clematidis italica
Lineage: Eukaryota; Fungi; Ascomycota; Dothideomycetes; Pleosporales
Description: 5.8S ribosomal RNA
Rfam family: 5.8S ribosomal RNA
About the family: 5.8S ribosomal RNA (5.8S rRNA) is a component of the large subunit of the eukaryotic ribosome.
Source: RNAcentral
AACUUUCAACAACGGAUCUCUUGGUUCUGGCAUCGAUGAAGAACGCAGCGAAAUGCGAUAAGUAGUGUGAAUUGCAGAAUUCAGUGAAUCAUCGAAUCUUUGAACGCACAUUGCGCCCCUUGGUAUUCCUUGGGGCAUGCCUGUUCGAGCGUCAUC